UAGAGAUGGGCAUGCGUUUCAUUAGCUAGUUGGUAAGGUAACGGCUUACCAAGGCUACGAUGAAUAGCUGGUCUGAGAGGAUGAUCAGCCACACUGGCACUGAGACACGGGCCAGACUCCUACGGGAGGCAGCAGUAGGGAAUAUUGGUCAAUGGGCGAAAGCCUGAACCAACCAUGCCGCGUGCAGGAUGAAUGCCUCUGGGGUGUAAACUGCUUUUCUUAUAAGAAGAAACUCUCACUUGUCGGAAUUGACGGAUCUAGAAUAACACCGGCUAAUUCCUGGCCAGCAGCCGCGGUAAUACGAGGGUGCGAGCGUAUUCCGAUUACUGGGUUAAAGGGGAGUAGGCGGCCCUAUAAUCAGUGGUGAAAGCCGUGGCUUAACCUACAAUGCCAUUGAACUGUUGGCUUGAGUUUUAUUUGAGGAAACGGAAUGUAUCCAUGUUUCCGUGGAAA
Molecule: ribosomal RNA, 453 nt
Filed under: uncultured Bacteroidota bacterium
Lineage: Bacteria; Pseudomonadati; Bacteroidota
Description: bacterial SSU rRNA
Rfam family: Bacterial small subunit ribosomal RNA
Source: RNAcentral